UUCCGGUUGAUCCUGCCGGACCCGACCGCUAUCGGGGUAGGGCUAAGCCAUGGGAGUCGCACGCUCCCGGGUAAGGGGGCGUGGCGGACGGCUGAGUAACACGUGGCUAACCUACCCUCGGGAGGGGGAUAACCCCGGGAAACUGGGGAUAAUCCCCCAUAGGGAAGGAGUCCUGGAAUGGUUCCUUCCCGAAAGGGUCAUGGGCUAAUCCUGCUCAUGACCGCCCGAGGAUGGGGCUGCGGCCCAUCAGGUUGUUGGCGGGGUAACGGCCCGCCAAGCCUAUAACGGGUAGGGGCCCUGGGAGGGGGAGCCCCCAGUUGGGCACUGAGACAAGGGCCCAGGCCCUACGGGGCGCACCAGGCGCGGAACGUCCCCAAUGCGGGAAACCGUGAGGGCGCUACCCCGAGUGCCCCCGAAAGGGGGCUUUUCCCCGCUCUAAAAAGGCGGGGGAAUAAGCGGGGGGCAAGUUCUGGUGUCAGCCGCCGCGGUAAUACCAGCCCCGCGAGUGGUCGGGACUCUUAUUGGGCCUAAAGCGCCCGUAGCCGGCCCGGUAAGUCAUCCCUUAAAGACCCCGGCUCAACCGGGGAAAUGGGGGUGAUACUACCGGGCUAGGGGGCGGGAGAGGCCAGGGGUACUCCUGGGGUAGGGGCGAAAUCCGUAGAUCCCAGGAGGACCACCAGUGGCGAAGGCGCCUGGCUAGAACGCGCCCGACGGUGAGGGGCGAAAGCCGGGGCAGCAAAAGGGAUUAGAUACCCCUGUAGUCCCGGCUGUAAACGAUGCGGGCUAGGUGUCGGGUAGGCUUAGAGCCUACCCGGUGCCGCAGGGAAGC
RNAcentral lists this ribosomal RNA (829 nucleotides) under uncultured Sulfolobales archaeon. Its description in RNAcentral is "bacterial SSU rRNA". It matches the Rfam family "Archaeal small subunit ribosomal RNA", at positions 1 to 812 of the family's 1478-position model. Lineage: Archaea; Thermoproteati; Thermoproteota; Thermoprotei; Sulfolobales. The record is from RNAcentral.